Long non-coding RNA from Andrographis paniculata, 571 nucleotides. RefSeq lists it as uncharacterized. The transcript has 3 exons. Lineage: Eukaryota; Viridiplantae; Streptophyta; Magnoliopsida; Lamiales; Acanthaceae. The record is from RefSeq and is a predicted model, not a curated record.
UCCAUUUUUCCCAAAUCUAAAAUCGCUUCCCGAUUUGCACCGGAAAGCUCGCCGAUACUCCGUCCUUUGCCAAAUCCUAACCUAGGUAGUCAAUUUUUUCUGUUGGCGCUUGGAGGAAGUUGAAAAACCAACUGGGCACACCAAAUCAGGAAAUACUUCUCCCGUUGUCUCAGAUGAUUAACUCUUGCUAGCGGUCACGCCCGUCCCCCCUUCCUUCGCCGCCGACGAUGAGCGCCGGUCACCUUCCCCAAUUCCCGGGAGUUGAGGUGAUAUUGAUGUGCUUGAUGCUAUGAUGCCAGAGAAGUUUUCUUCUGGUUCGCCGCAUCGGAGUGUCUCCCCCUUACUUCAUCGUUGCAUGAGCAUCUUCUUACCAUGUAUAUGCUUAGAUAUGGACUGAUGUCUUACUACAUUGAUCAUUUUGCAUACAAGUACGUAUUUUUAGCUUGUUUGCCUUUUAUGCAGUACUUUCAGGAUAGUUGACACUAUUGUUGGUGUAACUGUAUUUGGAAUACCUUAGAACAUGGUUGGAUCGGUCUCAUUUUGUAAGUUUUAUGAUGAAUUUCGGAUUUAA